RNAcentral lists this ribosomal RNA (2212 nucleotides) under Vibrio sp. 3-2(1). Its description in RNAcentral is "partial 23S ribosomal RNA". It matches the Rfam family "Bacterial large subunit ribosomal RNA", at positions 1 to 2244 of the family's 2925-position model. The record is from RNAcentral. Lineage: Bacteria; Pseudomonadati; Pseudomonadota; Gammaproteobacteria; Vibrionales; Vibrionaceae.
GUUGUAUGGUUAAGUGACUAAGCGUACACGGUGGAUGCCUUGGCAGUCAGAGGCGAUGAAGGACGUAGUAACUUGCGAUAAGCGUAGAUUAGGCAGUAACAGCCACUUGAGUCUACGAUUUCCGAAUGGGGAAACCCACGUGCAUAAGCACGUAUCCUUACCUGAAUACAUAGGGUAAGGAGGCAAACCGGGGGAACUGAAACAUCUAAGUACCCCGAGGAGAAGAAAUCAACAGAGAUUCCGAAAGUAGCGGCGAGCGAAAUUGGACUAGCCCUUAAGCUUUUAAUGAUGCAGGUGAAGCCUCUGGAAAGUGGCGCAAUAAAGGGUGAUAGCCCCGUAACUGUUCCAUCAUUAUAAGUGAAAUCGAGUAAGGCGGGACACGUGUUAUCCUGUCUGAACAUGGGGGGACCAUCCUCCAAGGCUAAAUACUACUGACUGACCGAUAGUGAACCAGUACCGUGAGGGAAAGGCGAAAAGAACCCCUGUGAGGGGAGUGAAAUAGAACCUGAAACCGUGUACGUACAAGCAGUAGGAGCACCUUCGUGGUGUGACUGCGUACCUUUUGUAUAAUGGGUCAGCGACUUAUAUUCAGUGGCAAGGUUAACCGAAUAGGGGAGCCGUAGGGAAACCGAGUCUUAACUGGGCGCUUCAGUCUCUGGAUAUAGACCCGAAACCGGGUGAUCUAGCCAUGGGCAGGUUGAAGGUUGAGUAACAUCAACUGGAGGACCGAACCGACUAAUGUUGAAAAAUUAGCGGAUGACUUGUGGCUAGGGGUGAAAGGCCAAUCAAACUCGGAGAUAGCUGGUUCUCCCCGAAAGCUAUUUAGGUAGCGCCUCGGACGAAUACUACUGGGGGUAGAGCACUGUUAAGGCUAGGGGGUCAUCCCGACUUACCAACCCUUUGCAAACUCCGAAUACCAGUAAGUACUAUCCGGGAGACACACGGCGGGUGCUAACGUCCGUCGUGGAGAGGGAAACAACCCAGACCGCCAGCUAAGGUCCCAAAUUACUACUAAGUGGGAAACGAUGUGGGAAGGCUCAGACAGCCAGGAUGUUGGCUUAGAAGCAGCCAUCAUUUAAAGAAAGCGUAAUAGCUCACUGGUCGAGUCGGCCUGCGCGGAAGAUGUAACGGGGCUAAGUAGUAAACCGAAGCUGCGGCAAUACAGUUUACUGUAUUGGGUAGGGGAGCGUUCUGUAAGCCGUUGAAGGUGUGUUGUAAAGCAUGCUGGAGGUAUCAGAAGUGCGAAUGCUGACAUGAGUAACGAUAAGGGGGGUGAAAAACCUCCCCGCCGGAAGACCAAGGGUUCCUGUCCAACGUUAAUCGGGGCAGGGUAAGUCGACCCCUAAGGCGAGGCUGAAAAGCGUAGUCGAUGGGAAACGGGUUAAUAUUCCCGUACUGCUUAUAAUUGCGAUGGGGGGACGGAGAAGGCUAGGUGGGCCAGGCGACGGUUGUCCUGGUUCAAGUGCGUAGGCUAAGAGACUAGGUAAAUCCGGUUUCUUGUUAGGCUGAGACACGACGUCGAGCUGCUACGGCAGUGAAGUCAUUGAUGCCCUGCUUCCAGGAAAAGCCUCUAAGCUUCAGAUUAUAAGCAAUCGUACCCCAAACCGACACAGGUGGUCGGGUAGAGAAUACCAAGGCGCUUGAGAGAACUCGGGUGAAGGAACUAGGCAAAAUGGUACCGUAACUUCGGGAGAAGGUACGCUCUUAUUGGUGAAGUCCCUCGCGGAUGGAGCUGACGAGAGUCGCAGAUACCAGGUGGCUGCAACUGUUUAUUAAAAACACAGCACUGUGCAAAAUCGCAAGAUGACGUAUACGGUGUGACGCCUGCCCGGUGCCGGAAGGUUAAUUGAUGGGGUUAGACUUAGGUCGAAGCUCUUGAUCGAAGCCCCGGUAAACGGCGGCCGUAACUAUAACGGUCCUAAGGUAGCGAAAUUCCUUGUCGGGUAAGUUCCGACCUGCACGAAUGGCGUAAUGAUGGCCACGCUGUCUCCACCCGAGACUCAGUGAAAUUGAAAUCGCUGUGAAGAUGCAGUGUACCCGCGGCUAGACGGAAAGACCCCGUGAACCUUUACUACAGCUUGGCACUGAACAUUGAACCUACAUGUGUAGGAUAGGUGGGAGACUUAGAAGCGCAGUCGCUAGAUUGCGUGGAGUCGACCUUGAAAUACCACCCUUGUCGUUUUGAUGUUCUAACGUAGGCCCCUCAUCGGGG